RNAcentral lists this ribosomal RNA (510 nucleotides) under uncultured bacterium. RNAcentral describes it as "partial 16S ribosomal RNA". It matches the Rfam family "Bacterial small subunit ribosomal RNA", at positions 28 to 507 of the family's 1533-position model. The record is from RNAcentral.
GACGAACGCUGGCGGCGUGCUUAACACAUGCAAGUCGAACGAAGAGCGAUGGAAGCUUGCUUCUAUCAAUCUUAGUGGCGAACGGGUGAGUAACGCGUAAUCAACCUGCCCUUCAGAGGGGGACAACAGUUGGAAACGACUGCUAAUACCGCAUACGAUCUAAUCUCGGCAUCGAGGAUAGAUGAAAGGUGGCCUCUACAUGUAAGCUAUCACUGAAGGAGGGGAUUGCGUCUGAUUAGCUAGUUGGAGGGGUAACGGCCCACCAAGGCGAUGAUCAGUAGCCGGUCUGAGAGGAUGAACGGCCACAUUUGGACUGAGACACGGCCCAGACUCCUACGGGAGGCAGCAGUGGGGAAUCUUCCGCAAUGGACGAAAGUCUGACGGAGCAACGCCGCGUGAGUGAUGACGGCCUUCGGGUUGUAAAGCUCUGUUAAUCGGGACGAAAGGCCUUCUUGCGAAUAGUGAGAAGGAUUGACGGUACCGGAAUAGAAAGCCACGGCUAACUACGUG